UAGUGUAUUUCAUUUGUGUAUAGAAGUAUC
This 30-nucleotide non-coding RNA is filed under the name Rattus norvegicus (Norway rat). Lineage: Eukaryota; Metazoa; Chordata; Mammalia; Rodentia; Muridae. The record is from RNAcentral.